Molecule: non-coding RNA, 297 nt
Organism: Microcebus murinus (gray mouse lemur)
Lineage: Eukaryota; Metazoa; Chordata; Mammalia; Primates; Cheirogaleidae
Source: RefSeq, a predicted model, not a curated record
GUCUAGGAUGUCAGCAGUUUCCUUGGCCUGUGGCUUCUUCCCAGAUGUGGGCAAAGGGAGCAUGCCAGGGAAGGAGGAAGGCUGCUCUGGGCGUCUCCAGUUUCUCAGACUUUCUUGGAUUUUGUUGACCUUGGCAGUCUUGAAGACUAUUGGUCAGCAGUCAGGCGCAAUCCAUGGGAGUGAAGAAAUUCUGUAGCUGCUUCUUUCUUCAUCAUGUGAUGAGAAACAACCAGGAGAUAAAGAAAGCACCACAUUCAUCUGUUUGAAUUGUUCAAAGUCAAAUACACUUGCUAAUUA